UACGAAGGGGGCUAGCGUUGCUCGGAAUUACUGGGCGUAAAGGGCGCGUAGGCGGAUGUUUAAGUCGGGGGUGAAAGCCCAGGGCUCAACCCUGGAAUAGCCUUCGAUACUGGACAUCUUGAGUACGGGAGAGGUGAGUGGAACUCCGAGUGUAGAGGUGAAAUUCGUAGAUAUUCGGAAGAACACCAGUGGCGAAGGCGACUCACUGGCCCGUUACUGACGCUGAGGCGCGAAAGCGUGGGGAGCAAACAGG
RNAcentral lists this ribosomal RNA (253 nucleotides) under uncultured bacterium. RNAcentral's name for it is "partial 16S ribosomal RNA". It matches the Rfam family "Bacterial small subunit ribosomal RNA", at positions 524 to 776 of the family's 1533-position model. The record is from RNAcentral.